AGUAGGAUAGGCGAAGCGUGCUGUUGGAGUGCACGUCCAAGCAGUAAGGCUGAGUGUUAGGCAAAUCCGGCACUCAUAAGGCUGAGCUGUGAUGGGGAGAGGAAAUUGUUUCCUCGAGUCGCUGAUUUCACACUGCCGAGAAAAGCCUCUAGAUAGAUAACAGGUGCCCGUACCGCAAACCGACACAGGUAGUCAAGAUGAGAAUUCUAAGGUGAGCGAGCGAACUCUCGUUAAGGAACUCGG
Molecule: ribosomal RNA, 243 nt
Filed under: Staphylococcus epidermidis
Lineage: Bacteria; Bacillati; Bacillota; Bacilli; Caryophanales; Staphylococcaceae
Description: partial 23S ribosomal RNA
Rfam family: Bacterial large subunit ribosomal RNA
Source: RNAcentral